UCCUCGUUAGCUCAGUUGGUAGAGCAGCGCACUUUUAAUGCGCGAGUCGUUGGUUCGAUCCCAACACGGGGAA
RNAcentral lists this transfer RNA (73 nucleotides) under Lewinella sp. 4G2. It matches the Rfam family "tRNA". Rfam says of the family: Transfer RNA (tRNA) molecules are approximately 80 nucleotides in length. Their secondary structure includes four short double-helical elements and three loops (D, anti-codon, and T loops). Further hydrogen bonds mediate the characteristic L-shaped molecular structure. tRNAs have two regions of fundamental functional importance: the anti-codon, which is responsible for specific mRNA codon recognition, and the 3' end, to which the tRNAs corresponding amino acid is attached (by aminoacyl-tRNA synthetases). tRNAs cope with the degeneracy of the genetic code in two manners: having more than one tRNA (with a specific anti-codon) for a particular amino acid; and 'wobble' base-pairing, i.e. permitting non-standard base-pairing at the 3rd anti-codon position. Lineage: Bacteria; Pseudomonadati; Bacteroidota; Saprospiria; Saprospirales; Lewinellaceae. The record is from Rfam by way of RNAcentral.